RNAcentral lists this ribosomal RNA (459 nucleotides) under uncultured bacterium. RNAcentral's name for it is "partial 16S ribosomal RNA". It matches the Rfam family "Bacterial small subunit ribosomal RNA", at positions 338 to 795 of the family's 1533-position model. The record is from RNAcentral.
CCUACGGGAGGCAGCAGUGAGGAAUAUUGGUCAAUGGGCGGAAGCCUGAACCAGCCAAGUAGCGUGCGGGAUGAAGGCCCUACGGGUCGUAAACCGCUUUUGCACGGGGAUAACACCCUCCACUUGUGGAGGUCUGCAGGUACCGUGCGAAUAAGGGCCGGCUAAUUCCGUGCCAGCAGCCGCGGUAAUACGGAAGGCCCGAGCGUUAUCCGGAUUCAUUGGGCUUAAAGGGAGCGUAGGCGGGCGUUCAAGUCAGCUGUAAAAUCGCGCGGCUCAACCGCGCCCCGCAGUUGAAACUGGACGCAUUGAGUGCACAACAGGCAGGCGGAAUGCGUGGUGUAGCGGUGAAAUGCAUAGAGAUCACGAGGAACCCCGAUUGCGAAGGCAGCCUGCCGGGGUGCGACUGACGCUGAGGCUCGAAGGUGCGGGUAUCAAACAGGAUUAGAUACCCGAGUAGUC